This 3006-nucleotide ribosomal RNA is filed under the name Ambystoma mexicanum (axolotl). RNAcentral's name for it is "eukaryotic LSU rRNA". The stretch from base 1616 to 3006 matches the Rfam family "Eukaryotic large subunit ribosomal RNA", at positions 1891 to 3286 of the family's 3401-position model. Lineage: Eukaryota; Metazoa; Chordata; Amphibia; Caudata; Ambystomatidae. The record is from RNAcentral.
UUGGGGUCUGAUAUAAUUUGGGGUCUGAUCUAAAAAUAUACAGUUAUUAUUUAUGGCCAAAACACACUAUAUACAAGUAUAGUUAUCACGUAACACUUUUAUACAUAUACAUAGACACAUAUAUACAUUCACUCUGUUAUAGGGCAUAGUACGUAUCAGAAACUCCUUCAAAGGAAAGGUUAGAUCAGUAUUAUGCAGUCAAGGUCCACAGAGAUGAUCCCUACCUAAAAUUGGCCAGCCCUAAGUUGUCUGGGGCCUUUUUCCCAAUAGUUCAGGUAAACGUUCCAGUGAAGUUAUGAAGCAGGAACAAAAAAAAACACGUAGGGUAUAUGGGGUCCAGUGAAGAGUUCUUAGGGUGGGGUACAAGUAAAAUUAAUUUCCAAAAAUAGCACCAACAUUCAGGGGUCUUGCACAAGCAAGCAGUAGCAAAGCCACUAUUGUUAGAAUUAAGGUUUAUUAUAAGCCAUUUGACUUAUAAAGGGAGUAUAAGGGUAGGUUAGAAGCUGUGUUACUUACCCCCCAAACUCUGAUUCUUCCUCACACUUGGCAGGACAAAGCAAAAGUGUCUGAGAUUGCUUUUGCCACUGAAAGACACAGUCCUUCAUUCCCAAGGGUUGCAGGAUCGAGCUGAUCUCCGGUUGGUGUCUUUCACUGUUGCAAAGUACUCUCGAUGGAAGAAUGAAGCAAAACUCGAUGCAGGACCCCUCUCAGGACUGGACUUGGGGCAGGUAAGCAGUUUUCAGAUGGUGGUCACCGCAGCACAGUGAUGCAAAGGGACUCAGCAGCCGUGGUCGGACUUUCCCACCUAUCUCGGGUCCCCUCGAUGCUAGGAUGCUGACAUUUUGCAGUGGUUAGCCUUGUAGGGCCAGCUGAGGAUCCCCCAAGUUCCAGGCCUAAACUCAGAACAUUCAUGCAUACCACUAAGGCACAUUAAAACCAGUUUGUGGUUUGGGACUAGACAGUCCCAGCCCAUAUCCUGUCAGCAAACACACACAGCCCUCCAGUAAACCCACCAAAAGCCUUUGCUUUCCCCAGCACUGGAAGUCCUUAUAAGGAUUUUCCUGGCCUAAGAGGCCAGGAAGAAGGCUAAAGAACAAGAUGGCAAAAGGACAAGCGAAAAAUCUUGUGGCGCGGCCAUGUUUAUCCAGUAGCCACAGUUGGCAGCCAAACACGGUAAACACGGUAAGGCUAAAAUGAAAAUUCACAAAAAGUGGGAAAAGGUCACUGCUGCCACCAGUUUAUCCUUUUUAUGCACCUAGAGUAACCAAAAAUCCUCUGAGUGUUAGUCUAGGGCAAAACUAAAAUGUAUCUCAUUGUACUGCUGUGUAAGCUGUUGUGCACAAUGAUAAAAAUGUGCCACAAGUGAUACAAAAGUAACCAAAAGUAGUAACACAGUGGCAUGACUAAUGGAAACAAUGUUUCCCAGUACUGACAGCCUGAAGGACAUGUCAGUUUCCCCAUGACAUAUGAGCAAAAGCCAGUGCAGUGAAGCUUAAGGCUUCAAUGCACUGUAAAAAGUACAGGUCAGAUUCAAAAAUAAAAGCAAAUCGUUUGGGGGCUCCAUAAAGAUGGAAGGAAAGGUGCAGUAAAGAGAAAUCUUUCCCAACAGGCAUGUUGGAACAAUGUAGGUAAGGUAAGUCGGCAAGUCAGAUAUGGAAUUUCGGGAUAAGGAUUGGAUCUAAGAGUUGGGUCGGUCGGGCUAGAUCGCUAAGUGUGGUUGAGUGCGAGCCUCAGCUGUAUGAGGUGUCUCCCCACGGGGCGGUGCUGCCUCUGGAUGCGAUCCGGCCCCUUCCUGUGGAUUGCCCCACCUGCAGUGAUUGCUUCUCUCCAUUCCCCUCCGAGGGUUCAGGGCCGGCGUUCUGCCUCAGCCAAUGCCUAGCAGGUGAUUUAGGACUGGUCCAGACCAGGGGAAUUUGAUAUUUUAAUUAAAACAAAACAUUGUGAAGGCCAACAGAGGGUAUCGAUGCAAUUUGAUUUCUGCACAAUGCUCUGAAUGUCAAAGUGAAGAAAUUCAAUGAAGCUGGGUAAGCAGCUGUAGUAACUAUUACUCUCUUAAGGUAGCCAAAGGCCUUGUCAUCUAAUAAGUGACAAGCAUGAUUGGUUGAACGAGAUUUCCACUGUCCCUACCUACUAUCUAGAGAAACCACAGCCAAGGAAACAUACUUGGCAUAAUCAGUGGAGGCAGAAUACCCUGUUGAGAUUGACUCUAGUCUGGCACUGUGAAGAGAAAUGAGAAGUGUAGGAUAAGAGGGAGAGCCCUGUAGGGAUCUCGCUUAUGACUCCAAGCACCCGGUGCCCACCAGGCGUGACCCCCUCUGAGGGCAGUGGCAGGUGGGGAGUUUGACUGGGGCAGUAUGCCUGUCAAACGAUAAUGCAUGUGUCCUGAGGUGAGCUCAGGGAGGACAGAAACCUCCCGCGGAGCAGAAGGAAAAAAGCUUUCUUGAUCUCGAUUUUCAGUAUGAACACAGACCAUGAAAGCAGGGCCUCACAAUCCUUCUGACUUUUUGGGUUUCAAGCAGGAGGUGUCCGAAAAGUUACCACAUGGAUAACUGGCUUGUGGCAGCCAAGCGUUCAUAGCAAUGUCGCUUUUUUAUUCUUCAAUGUCGGCCCUUCCUCUCAUUAUGAAGCAGAAUUCACCAAGCGUUGGAUUGUUCAACCAAUAAUAGGGAACGUGAGCUGGGUUUAGACCAUUGUGAGACAGGUUUGUUUUACCCUACUGAUGAUGUGUUGUUGCAGUAGUAAUCCUGCUCAUUUCAAGAGGAACCGUAGGUUCAGACAUUUGGUCUAUGUGCUUGGCUGAGGAGAUAAUGGGGCAAAGCUACCAUCUGUAGAAUUAUGACUGAAUGCCUCUAAGUCGAAUCCCCCUUAAACUGUAACGAUACUGCAGCACUGUGGAACAUGGUUUAGGAUAGCCGGCCUCUGGGCUGGUGCGUACAGCCACUCACCUCAGGUCUCAAGUGUGGACAGAAGGGGGCCACCUUUCUCGCCCAUACUGCACUCUAUGUU